UAUUGAUUUGAUUACAACAAU
Non-coding RNA from Caenorhabditis elegans, 21 nucleotides. The record is from Ensembl. Lineage: Eukaryota; Metazoa; Nematoda; Chromadorea; Rhabditida; Rhabditidae.